UAAUACAGAGGGGGCAAGCGUUAUUCGGAAUUAUUGGGCGUAAAGGGCGCGUAGGCGGCCUGACAAGUGGAAGGUGAAAUCCCUCGGCUUAACCGAGGAACUGCCUUCCAAACUGUUUGGCUUGAGUCCGGGAGAGGCGAGUGGAAUUCCCAGUGUAGCGGUGAAAUGCGUAGAUAUUGGGAGGAACACCAGUGGCGAAGGCGGCUCGCUGGACCGGAACUGACGCUGAGGCGCGAAAGCGUGGGGAGCAAACAGGAUUAGAUACCCUGGUAGUCCACGCCGUAAACGAUGAGUGCUGGGUGUCGCGGGUAUCGACCCCUGCGGUGCCGAAGUCAACACAUUAAGCACUCCGCCUGGGGAGUACGGUCGCAAGGCUG
Molecule: ribosomal RNA, 377 nt
Filed under: uncultured bacterium
Lineage: Bacteria
Description: bacterial SSU rRNA
Rfam family: Bacterial small subunit ribosomal RNA
Source: RNAcentral